UAUGCAGUAGCUCAGUGGUAGAGCCCCGCUUCGCAUGCGGGGAGACCUGGGUUCGAUUCCCGGCUGCUUCC
Molecule: transfer RNA, 71 nt
Filed under: Toxocara canis (dog roundworm)
Lineage: Eukaryota; Metazoa; Nematoda; Chromadorea; Rhabditida; Toxocaridae
Rfam family: tRNA
About the family: Transfer RNA (tRNA) molecules are approximately 80 nucleotides in length. Their secondary structure includes four short double-helical elements and three loops (D, anti-codon, and T loops).
Source: Rfam by way of RNAcentral